RNAcentral lists this non-coding RNA (28 nucleotides) under Cricetulus griseus (Chinese hamster). The record is from RNAcentral. Lineage: Eukaryota; Metazoa; Chordata; Mammalia; Rodentia; Cricetidae.
UGUCAAGAAGGAAGGCUUAACCCCCACC